RNAcentral lists this long non-coding RNA (276 nucleotides) under Homo sapiens (human). RNAcentral describes it as "HSALNT0408108". The record is from RNAcentral. Lineage: Eukaryota; Metazoa; Chordata; Mammalia; Primates; Hominidae.
CUUUCAGGCACUCUGUUGGUUUUAUGGCGCCUCUUCUUGCGAAUGUUUGUGUAAAAUUGACAUACUGUGGUCCUUUUCUGCACAAUUACGGCAAGGAAAAUUCAGAUCGCAAAGGUCCACCUCGGACGUUACUGGGAGGAAUGAGGGCGAGGAAGAGAAAGACGUUAGUCCUCGGACCGUUUCCGAGAGUCAUCUCCGGGAGUAAUGCGAAGAUGGACACGCUCAGUCCUGCCUGUGCAUGCGCGUUCGCGUUGUACGGAAUUCCCAAGCCAGCUG